RNAcentral lists this ribosomal RNA (445 nucleotides) under uncultured Coriobacteriaceae bacterium. Its description in RNAcentral is "bacterial SSU rRNA". It matches the Rfam family "Bacterial small subunit ribosomal RNA", at positions 335 to 798 of the family's 1533-position model. Lineage: Bacteria; Bacillati; Actinomycetota; Coriobacteriia; Coriobacteriales; Coriobacteriaceae. The record is from RNAcentral.
GCCCUACGGGAGGCUGCAGUGGGGAAUAUUGCGCAAUGGGCGAAAGCCUGACGCAGCAACGCCGCGUGGAGGAUGACGGUUUUCGGAUUGUAAACUCCUUUCAAUAGCGAAGAAAUUGACUGUAACUAUAGAAGAAGCCCCGGCUAAAUACGUGCCAGCAGCCGCGGUAAUACGUAUGGGGCAAGCGUUAUCCGGAUUCAUUGGGCGUAAAGAGCGCGUAGGUGGAUUGUUAAGCGAGAUGUGAAAACUGGGGGCUCAACCCCCAGCCUGCAUCUCGAACUGGCAGUCUUGAGUUUGGUAGAGGAGUGUGGAAUUCCCAGUGUAGCGGUGGAAUGCGCAGAUAUUGGGAAGAACACCAGUGGCGAAGGCGGCACUCUGGGCCAACACUGACACUGAGGCGCGAAAGCUAGGGGAGCGAACAGGAUUAGAUACCCCUGUAGUCCUA